RNAcentral lists this ribosomal RNA (1346 nucleotides) under uncultured bacterium. RNAcentral's name for it is "partial 16S ribosomal RNA". It matches the Rfam family "Bacterial small subunit ribosomal RNA", at positions 28 to 1381 of the family's 1533-position model. The record is from RNAcentral.
GACGAACGCUGGCGGCGUGCUUAACACAUGCAAGUCGAACGGAAAGGCCCUGCUUUUGUGGGGUGCUCGAGUGGCGAACGGGUGAGUAACACGUGAGUAACCUGCCCUUGACUUUGGGAUAACUUCAGGAAACUGGGGCUAAUACCGGAUAGGAGCUCCUGCUGCAUGGUGGGGGUUGGAAAGUUUCGGCGGUUGGGGAUGGACUCGCGGCUUAUCAGCUUGUUGGUGGGGUAGUGGCUUACCAAGGCUUCGACGGGUAGCCGGCCUGAGAGGGUGACCGGCCACAUUGGGACUGAGAUACGGCCCAGACUCCUACGGGAGGCAGCAGUGGGGAAUAUUGCACAAUGGGCGGAAGCCUGAUGCAGCAACGCCGCGUGCGGGAUGACGGCCUUCGGGUUGUAAACCGCUUUCGCCUGUGACGAAGCGUGAGUGACGGUAAUGGGUAAAGAAGCACCGGCUAACUACGUGCCAGCAGCCGCGGUGAUACGUAGGGUGCGAGCGUUGUCCGGAUUUAUUGGGCGUAAAGGGCUCGUAGGUGGUUGAUCGCGUCGGAAGUGUAAUCUUGGGGCUUAACCCUGAGCGUGCUUUCGAUACGGGUUGACUUGAGGAAGGUAGGGGAGAAUGGAAUUCCUGGUGGAGCGGUGGAAUGCGCAGAUAUUAGGAGGAACACCAGUGGCGAAGGCGGUUCUCUGGGCCUUUCCUGACGCUGAGGAGCGAAAGCGUGGGGAGCGAACAGGCUUAGAUACCCUGGUAGUCCACGCUGUAAACGGUGGGUACUAGGUGUGGGGUCCAUUCCACGGGUUCCGUGCCGUAGCUAACGCUUUAAGUACCCCGCCUGGGGAGUACGGCCGCAAGGCUAAAACUCAAAGGAAUUGACGGGGCCCCGCACAAGCGGCGGAGCAUGCGGAUUAAUUCGAUGCAACGCGUAGAACCUUACCUGGGUUUGACAUGGGUCGGGAGUGCUCAGAGAUGGGUGUGCCUCUUUUGGGGUCGGUUCACAGGUGGUGCAUGGCUGUCGUCAGCUCGUGUCGUGAGAUGUUGGGUUAAGUCCCGCAACGAGCGCAACCCUUGUUCACUGUUGCCAGCACGUUAUGGUGGGGACUCAGUGGAGACCGCCGGGGUCAACUCGGAGGAAGGUGGGGAUGACGUCAAGUCAUCAUGCCCCUUAUGUCCAGGGCUUCACGCAUGCUACAAUGGCUGGUACAGAGAGUGGCGAGCCUGUGAGGGUGAGCGAAUCUCGGAAAGCCGGUCUCAGUUCGGAUUGGGGUCUGCAACUCGACCUCAUGAAGUCGGAGUCGCUAGUAAUCGCAGAUCAGCAACGCUGCGGUGAAUACGUUCCCGGGGCU